GCGGAUGAUGCAUAGCCGAGUUGAGAGACUGAUCGGCCACAAUGGGACUGAGACACGGCCCAUACUCCUACGGGAGGCAGCAGUAGGGAAUCUUCCACAAUGGGCGCAAGCCUGAUGGAGCAACACCGCGUGAGUGAAGAAGGGUUUCGGCUCGUAAAGCUCUGUUGUUAAAGAAGAACACGUAUGAGAGUAACUGUUCAUACGUUGACGGUAUUUAACCAGAAAGUCACGGCUAACUACGUGCCAGCAGCCGCGGUAAUACGUAGGUGGCAAGCGUUAUCCGGAUUUAUUGGGCGUAAAGAGAGUGCAGGCGGUUUUCUAAGUCUGAUGUGAAAGCCUUCGGCUUAACCGGAGAAGUGCAUCGGAAACUGGAUAACUUGAGUGCAGAAGAGGGUAGUGGAACUCCAUGUGUAGCGGUGGAAUGCGUAGAUAUAUGGAAGAACACCAGUGGCGAAGGCGGCUACCUGGUCUGCAACUGACGCUGAGACUCGAAAGCAUGGGUAGCGAACAGGAUUAGAUACCCUGGUAGUCCAUGCCGUAAACGAUGAGUGCUAGGUGUUGGAGGGUUUCCGCCCUUCAGUGCCGGAGCUAACGCAUUAAGCACUCCGCCUGGGGAGUACGACCGCAAGGUUGAAACUCAAAGGAAUUGACGGGGGCCCGCACAAGCGGUGGAGCAUGUGGUUUAAUUCGAAGCUACGCGAAGAACCUUACCAGGUCUUGACAUCUUGCGCCAACCCUAGAGAUAGGGCGUUUCCUUCGGGAACGCAAUGACAGGUGGUGCAUGGUCGUCGU
RNAcentral lists this ribosomal RNA (792 nucleotides) under Limosilactobacillus fermentum. Its description in RNAcentral is "bacterial SSU rRNA". It matches the Rfam family "Bacterial small subunit ribosomal RNA", at positions 272 to 1055 of the family's 1533-position model. The record is from RNAcentral. Lineage: Bacteria; Bacillati; Bacillota; Bacilli; Lactobacillales; Lactobacillaceae.